This 253-nucleotide ribosomal RNA is filed under the name uncultured bacterium. RNAcentral's name for it is "partial 16S ribosomal RNA". It matches the Rfam family "Bacterial small subunit ribosomal RNA", at positions 524 to 776 of the family's 1533-position model. The record is from RNAcentral.
UACGUAGGGUGCAAGCGUUGUCCGGAAUUAUUGGGCGUAAAGAGCUUGUAGGCGGUUUGUCGCGUCCGCUGUGAAAUUUCGGGGCUCAACCCCGAACUUGCAGUGGGUACGGGCAGACUAGAGUGUGGUAGGGGAGACUGGAAUUCCUGGUGUAGCGGUGAAAUGCGCAGAUAUCAGGAGGAACACCGAUGGCGAAGGCAGGUCGCUGGGCCACUACUGACGCUGAGAAGCGAAAGCAUGGGGAGCGAACAGG